ACGCUCGACACCUAUUGGAGGCAGCAGUGAGGAAUAUUGGUCAAUGGACGCAAGUCUGAACCAGCCAUGCCGCGUGCAGGAUGACGGCUCUAUGAGUUGUAAACUGCUUUUGUACGAGGGUAAACGCAGAUACGUGUAUCUGUCUGAAAGUAUCGUACGAAUAAGGAUCGGCUAACUCCGUGCUAGCAGCCGCGGUAAUCUGAGCGGGCUGGCAAGGC
This 218-nucleotide ribosomal RNA is filed under the name uncultured bacterium. RNAcentral's name for it is "partial 16S ribosomal RNA". It matches the Rfam family "Bacterial small subunit ribosomal RNA", at positions 328 to 539 of the family's 1533-position model. The record is from RNAcentral.